GACGAACGCUGGCGGCGUGCUUAACACAUGCAAGUCGAACGGAAAGGCCCUGCUUUUGUGGGGUGCUCGAGUGGCGAACGGGUGAGUAACACGUGAGUAACCUGCCCUUGACUUUGGGAUAACUUCAGGAAACUGGGGCUAAUACCGGAUAGGAGCUCCUGCUGCAUGGUGGGGGUUGGAAAGUUUCGGCGGUUGGGGAUGGACUCGCGGCUUAUCAGCUUGUUGGUGGGGUAGUGGCUUACCAAGGCUUUGACGGGUAGCCGGCCUGAGAGGGUGACCGGCCACAUUGGGACUGAGAGACGGACCAGACUCCUACGGGAGGCAGCAGUGGGGAAUAUUGCACAAUGGGCGGAAGCCUGAUGCAGAAACGCCGCGUGCGGGAUGACGGCCUUCGGGUUGUAAACCGCUUUCGCCUGUGACGAAGCGUGAGUGACGGUAAUGGGUAAAGAAGCACCGGCUAACUACGUG
Molecule: ribosomal RNA, 468 nt
Filed under: uncultured bacterium
Lineage: Bacteria
Description: partial 16S ribosomal RNA
Rfam family: Bacterial small subunit ribosomal RNA
Source: RNAcentral